Long non-coding RNA from Ostrea edulis (European flat oyster), 242 nucleotides. RefSeq lists it as uncharacterized. The transcript has 3 exons. NCBI's taxonomy places the organism in Eukaryota, Metazoa, Mollusca, Bivalvia, Ostreida, Ostreidae. The record is from RefSeq and is a predicted model, not a curated record.
UGGGUAUAAACACCGAGACAAAGACUUCAAUUUGCAUGGAUUCUAUUUCUCUGAGCGUCCACCAGCCUCGUUUUCACGAACGCCAUCCCAGGGAUCUCCACAGACUCCGCAUUUCCCGCCAUUUCUAUCCCACUGCCUCUGAAAUAACGUUAAAAACGAAUCCUCCGCAGAAGAGUUGAUUGUCGUUGUAGUUACGUGGCGUGCUGAACCCCAAUCUCCACAUGCUGGAGCGGGAAGGCGGU